Long non-coding RNA from Capsicum annuum, 2146 nucleotides. RefSeq lists it as uncharacterized. The record is from RefSeq and is a predicted model, not a curated record. The transcript is spliced from 5 exons. NCBI's taxonomy places the organism in Eukaryota, Viridiplantae, Streptophyta, Magnoliopsida, Solanales, Solanaceae.
UAAAUCAUUUUCCUUUCUUUGCAAAAAUGAGCCGCACCUUUUCUCUCCCUUCUCUUCUCUCUCUCUAAGGUCAACCACCGGCGAACACCACGCUCCGGUGAGCCGCGUCGCCGGCAAGACCGUCGCCCCUUCUUUCUUUCUUCUCCUUUCCCCCCAUCGCGCCACCAGCCACCGCUCCAUCGUACAAAUAUUAUCCCUGGUGGCUAUUAUUGAUAUUUAUUAUCAUAUUGAAAGUGCAAAAUAUUUUGCCUUGGCAUCAACAAACUAGGUUUCUCUUCACUUUCAAAGUGCAAGAGCCAGAUCUUCCUUUUUCCCGUAGACUCGUGUUCGGAGCUUUGGAGGUUUUUUAGUGAAACGGGAGAAUAGAGGUGAGAGGUGGUGGAUUUUGUCGUUGCUGAAGCUUAGAGCUUAUUGGAGGGAGGGGAGGUGGAGUUGGUAUUUUAUGGUCAGUGAAGGAUGCGGGUGUAUGAGUGAAGUUCUUCAUCGCAGAGCUUAGAGCUCGCUGGACGGAGGGGAGGUGGAGUUGUUACAGUUGAAUCCCUUUUUAUAAACUUACGAUUCUACAACUGAAGGAAAAAAUGUAUUGGUUAUAAUGAAAAUUAUAUUAGUUUUGCAGGAUUUGGAAAUAACUAAUAAUUAUCGUGUCUAGAAAAAUUAAUUGCUUGUCAAUGUGUAGUAUCUGGCCUACGAGUACGCCGAGAGUUGAGCAUGUUUAGGCUUUGCAGCAAGAAGAGAGAGGAGUUUGAAUGAAGUGGCCAAAGGGCAUAUGAACUAGGGUCACCAGAUGUUAUAACAAUUCAAGCUGAUGUUUUAAAAGUCAAUGACUGCAGAAGGAUUGUUGAUUAUACCAUGAAACACUUUGGCCAAUCGGACCAUCUGGUAAACAAUGCUGGAGUGCACGCGAUUACUCUGUUUGAAGAUACAGAAGAUAUCACUAAUUUUAAUCUGUCAUGGACAUGAACUUCUAGGGUUCAGUUUACAUAACCCACUUUGUGAUUCCCUAUCUUAGAUACAGUGGGGGCAGGAUCAUUGUGCUUUCUUCAUCUUCUUCUUGGUUGCCUACUCCAAGAUCGAGCCUUUACAACAUAAGUACAAGCUCGACUGCUUUUAUACUUCCACUGGAAAUGGUCAUAUUUUAUCUUGAUGAGUCAACCGGAAAAUUUGUCAUGACAGGCAAGCAAAGCAGCAGUAUCUCAAUUCUUCGAGACAUUAAGAAUUGAGUUGGGACAUGACAUCAAACUAACACUGGCUAUGUGGCUGUAGUAACUAUGCAUAAAUUCCAAAUGCAUCGGCAUAUUAUGAGCCGUGGAUGGACUUUAGGAUGGAACUGGCCAAAGAAAGAAGUGAUAUGGUCCAUAGUGGGAGCAGAAACAACAGAGCAAGGUGACUGUUCCAAGUUUAAAGAAAAUGUACCAUAUUGCUGCAAGAAGGAUCCUGUACUUAUUGACUUGCUUCCUGGAGUUCCUUACAACCAACAGUUCAGCAACUGCUGUAAAGGUGGUGUUCUCGCGUCUUGGGGCGAAGAUCCUUCUGAGUCGGUAUCUUCCUUUCAGAUUAGUGUUGGACUUGCUGGAACAUCAAACAAGACGGUAAAACUACCCAAGAAUCUCACUCUGCUUGGUCCUGGACCAGGCUACACUUGUAGCCCUGCAAAGAUAGUUCCAUCCACAGUUUUUCUCUCUCCAGAUCACAGGCAAAAAAGUUAAGCAAUGAAAUGAGUUUGAAAGAAAGAAACAAGAAAUAUUAGCUGCUCAAAGUGCAUCAAUUGUGGAAGGAGGAUGAGAAAGGAAUUAGACUUGUUGAUGAAGCAUGUAUACAAGAAAUCAUCUACAAAUGAUGAUCACCCAUCUCAAGAAGACAACCAAGCUUAUGAGGAUGAAAGUGAUGGUGACUCUGAUGACGUGAAUGAAAGUGAUAAUCCUGAUAACGUGAACGAAAGUGAUUUUGAACCUAAUGGUUGGAAGUUUUAUUAAGGAUUCAAGUUUAAAAUAUUUUGUUUUGGACCAUUUAAGAAUCAUACAUUAUUGAUGUGGAUGUUUUGAAUUAUGUUUUUUAGUUAGCUGUAAGUGUUUACAUUAGAUUUGUAUUGAAUGAUGGUUUUGAGAAUUAUUUAAGGUUUUGAAUAAAUUUUUGAUUAAUUGUGAAA